AUUGAACGCUGGCGGCAGGCCUAACACAUGCAAGUCGAGCGGAUGAAGGGAGCUUGCUCCUGGAUUCAGCGGCGGACGGGUGAGUAAUGCCUAGGAAUCUGCCUGGUAGUGGGGGAUAACGUCCGGAAACGGGCGCUAAUACCGCAUACGUCCUGAGGGAGAAAGUGGGGGAUCUUCGGACCUCACGCUAUCAGAUGAGCCUAGGUCGGAUUAGCUAGUUGGUGGGGUAAAGGCCUACCAAGGCGACGAUCCGUAACUGGUCUGAGAGGAUGAUCAGUCACACUGGAACUGAGACACGGUCCAGACUCCUACGGGAGGCAGCAGUGGGGAAUAUUGGACAAUGGGCGAAGGCCUGAUCCAGCCAUGCCGCGUGUGAAGAAGGUCUUCGGAUUGUAAAGCACUUUAAGUUGGGAGGAAGGGCAGUAAGUUAAUACCUUGCUGUUUUGACGUUACCAACAGAAUAAGCACCGGCUAACUUCGUG
This 482-nucleotide ribosomal RNA is filed under the name uncultured bacterium. Its description in RNAcentral is "partial 16S ribosomal RNA". It matches the Rfam family "Bacterial small subunit ribosomal RNA", at positions 30 to 507 of the family's 1533-position model. The record is from RNAcentral.